RNAcentral lists this ribosomal RNA (292 nucleotides) under uncultured bacterium. Its description in RNAcentral is "partial 16S ribosomal RNA". The record is from RNAcentral. RNAcentral also lists the same sequence under 2 other names.
GGACUACCGGGGUAUCUAAUCCCGUUUGCUCCCCUGGCUUUCGCGCCUCAGCGUCAGAAGAGGUCCAGCACGUCGCUUUCGCCACCGGCGUUCCUUCCGAUAUCUACGCAUUUCACCGCUCCACCGGAAGUUCCACAUGCCCCUACCUCCCUCCAGCAACGCAGUAUCCAAGGCCCUUUUCCGGUUAAGCCGAAAGCUUUCACCCCGGACUUGCAUUGCCGCCUACGCGCCCUUUAAGCCCAGUGAAUCCGAACAACGUUCGCACGGUUCGUCUUACCGCGGCGGCUGGCAC